Molecule: ribosomal RNA, 582 nt
Filed under: uncultured beta proteobacterium
Lineage: Bacteria; Pseudomonadati; Pseudomonadota; Betaproteobacteria
Description: bacterial SSU rRNA
Rfam family: Bacterial small subunit ribosomal RNA
Source: RNAcentral
GAGUUUGAUUCUGGCUCAGAUUGAACGCUGGCGGCAUGCCUUACACAUGCAAGUCGAACGGCAACGGGCCCUUCGGGGUGCCGGCAAGUGGCGAACGGGUGAGUAACACAUCGGAACGUACCCUGUGGUGGGGGAUAACCCGUCGAAAGACGGGCUAAUACCGCAUAAGCUCUGCGGAGGAAAGCGGGGGACCGUCAAGGCCUCGCGCCACAGGAGCGGCCGAUGUCCGAUUAGCUAGUUGGUAGGGUAAAGGCUUACCAAGGCGACGAUCGGUAGCGGGUCUGAGAGGACGGCCCGCCACACUGGGACUGAGACACGGCCCAGACUCCUACGGGAGGCAGCAGUGGGGAAUCUUGGACAAUGGGGGAAACCCUGAUCCAGCAAUGCCGCGUGGGUGAAGAAGGCCUUCGGGUUGUAAAGCCCUUUUAGCGGGGAAGAAAUCGGCUAGGUGAAUAAUCUAGCUGGAUGACGGUACCUGCAGAAAAAGCACCGGCUAGCUACGUGCCAGCAGCCGCGGUAAUACGUAGGGUGCGAGCGUUAAUCGGAUUUACUGGGCGUAAAGCGUGCGCAGGCGGUCCGCUA